UUGGUUUAAAUCAAUUCUGGAUCUACACUUUGAAAAUAGAACUCACACAAAGUGAUGGAACAUACAUAUUGAUUUCAUCCAA
RNAcentral lists this microRNA precursor (82 nucleotides) under Medicago truncatula (barrel medic). RNAcentral's name for it is "MIR5269 microRNA precursor family". It matches the Rfam family "MIR5269 microRNA precursor family". The record is from Rfam by way of RNAcentral. Lineage: Eukaryota; Viridiplantae; Streptophyta; Magnoliopsida; Fabales; Fabaceae.